This 504-nucleotide ribosomal RNA is filed under the name uncultured soil bacterium. Its description in RNAcentral is "bacterial SSU rRNA". It matches the Rfam family "Bacterial small subunit ribosomal RNA", at positions 26 to 527 of the family's 1533-position model. The record is from RNAcentral.
AGAUUGAACGCUGGCGGCAUGCCUUACACAUGCAAGUCGAACGGUAGAGUAGCAAUACUCGAGAGUGGCGAACGGGUGAGUAAUAUAUCGGAACGUGCCCAGUCGUGGGGGAUAACGUAGAGAAAUUUACGCUAAUACCGCAUACGAUCUAAGGAUGAAAGCGGGGGAUUCGCAAGAACCUCGCGCGAUUGGAGCGGCUGAUAUCAGAUUAGGUUGUUGGUGAGGUAAAAAGCUCACCAAGCCGACGAUCUGUAGCUGGUUUGAGAGAACGACCAGCCACACUGGGACUGAGACACGGCCCAGACUCCUACGGGAGGCAGCAGUGGGGAAUUUUGGACAAUGGGCGAAAGCCUGAUCCAGCAAUGCCGCGUGCAGGAAGAAGGCCUUCGGUUGUAAACUGCUUUUUGUACGGAACGAAAAGGCUCUUUCUAAUAAAGUAGGCCCAUGACGUACCGUAAGAAUAAGACACCGGCUAACUACGUAGCCAGCAGCCGCGGUAAUCUA